Molecule: ribosomal RNA, 468 nt
Filed under: uncultured bacterium
Lineage: Bacteria
Description: partial 16S ribosomal RNA
Rfam family: Bacterial small subunit ribosomal RNA
Source: RNAcentral
GACGAACGCUGGCGGCGUGCUUAACACAUGCAAGUCGAACGGAAAGGCCCUGCUUUUGUGGGGUGCUCGAGUGGCGAACGGGUGAGUAACACGUGAGUAACCUGCCCAUGACUUUGGGAUAACUUCAGGAAACUGGGGCUAAUACCGGAUAGGAGCUCCUGCUGCAUGGUGGGGGUUGGAAAGUUUCGGCGGUUGGGGAUAGACUCGCGGCUUAUCAGCUUGUUGGUGGGGUAGUGGCUUACCAAGGCUUUGACGGGUAGCCGGCCUGAGAGGGUGACCGGCCACAUUGGGACUGAGAUACGGCCCAGACUCCUACGGGAGGCAGCAGUGGGGAAUAUUGCACAAUGGGCGGAAGCCUGAUGCAGCAACGCCGCGUGCGGGAUGACGGCCUUCGGGUUGUAAACCGCUUUCGCCUGUGACGAAGCGUGAGUGACGGUAAUGGGUAAAGAAGCACCGGCUAACUACGUG